Molecule: ribosomal RNA, 253 nt
Filed under: uncultured bacterium
Lineage: Bacteria
Description: partial 16S ribosomal RNA
Rfam family: Bacterial small subunit ribosomal RNA
Source: RNAcentral
UACAGGGGGGGCAAGCGUUGUUCGGAAUUACUGGGCGUAAAGGGCUCGUAGGCGGCCAACUAAGUCACACGUGAAAUCCCCAGGCUUAACCUGGGAACUGCGUGUGAUACUGGAUGGCUUGAAUUCGGGAGAGGGAUGCAGAAUUCCAGGUGUAGCGGUGAAAUGCGUAGAUAUCUGGAGGAAUACCGGUGGCGAAGGCGGCUCACUGGGGGUUUUCUGACGCUGAGGAACGAAAGCCAGGGGAGCGAACGGG